UACGGGAGGCAGCAGUGGGGAAUUUUGGACAAUGGGGGGAAACCCUGAUCCAGCCAUCCCGCGUGUGCGAUGAAGGCCUUCGGGUUGUAAAGCACUUUUGGCAGGAGGGCAAAACGGCACGGGGAUAAUGUUCCGCAACUGACGGUACCCGAAUAAGCAACCGGCUAACUACGUGCCAGCAGCCGCGUGUAAUGUAGGGUGCAAGCGUUAAUCGGAACAUACUGGGCGUAAAGCGUGCGCAGGCGGUUCGGAAACAGGAAUCCCAGAGCUUAACUUCUUCUUUGGAACUGCAUUUUUUAACUACCGAGCUAGAGUGUGUCAGAGGGAGGUGGAAUCUCGCGUGUAGCAGUGCGGAAAUGCGUAGAUAUGCGGAGGAACACCGAUGGCGAAGGCAGCCUCCUGGGAUAACACUGACGCCUGCGCACGAAAGCGUGGGGAGCAAACAGGAUUAGAUACCCCGGUAGU
Molecule: unclassified non-coding RNA, 465 nt
Filed under: uncultured Bordetella sp.
Lineage: Bacteria; Pseudomonadati; Pseudomonadota; Betaproteobacteria; Burkholderiales; Alcaligenaceae
Description: partial 16S-23S ribosomal RNA intergenic spacer
Rfam family: Bacterial small subunit ribosomal RNA
Source: RNAcentral